UGGGGGAUAUUGCACAAUGGGCGAAAGCCUGAUGCAGCGACGCCGCGUGGGGGAUGAAGGCCUUCAGGUUGUAAACUUCUUUUGCUCUGAACAAGGCGCACCAUGGGGUGUGUUGAGUGUAGGGGUUGAUUAGCGCCGGCUAACUACGUGCCAGCAGCCGCGGUAAUACGUAGGGCGCGAGCGUUGUCCGGAAUUAUUGGGCGUAAAGGGCUUGUAGGUGGCUGGUUGCGUCUGUCGUGAAAGCUCAUGGCUUAACUGUGGGUUUGCGGUGGGUACGGGCUGGCUUGAGUGCAGUAGGGGAGGCUGGAAUUCCUGGUGUAGCGGUGGAAUGCGCAGAUAUCAGGAGGAAUACCGGUGGCGAAGGCGGGUCUCUGGGCUGUUACUGACACUGAGGAGCGAAAGCAUGGGGAGCGAACAGG
This 419-nucleotide ribosomal RNA is filed under the name bacterium. Its description in RNAcentral is "partial 16S ribosomal RNA". It matches the Rfam family "Bacterial small subunit ribosomal RNA", at positions 355 to 776 of the family's 1533-position model. The record is from RNAcentral.